GAAAUGCGAUAAGUAAUGUGAAUUGCAGAAUUCAGUGAAUCAUCGAAUCUUUGAACGCACCUUGCGCUCUUUGGUAUUCCUUGGAGCAUGCCUGUUUGAGUAUCAUGAAAUCUUCAAAGUAAAUCUUUUGUUAACUCAAUUGGUUUCUACUUUGGUAUUGGAGGUCUUUGCAGCUUCACACCUGCUCCUCUUUGUUCAUUAGCUGGAUCUCAGUGUUAUGCUUGGUUCCACUCGGCGUGAUAAGUUAUCUAUCGCUGAGGACACUGUAAAAGGUGGCCAAGGUAAAUGCAGAUGAACCGCUUCUAAUAGUCCAUUGACUUGGACAAUACUUUUAUGAUCUGAUCUCAAAUCAGGUAGGACUACCCGCUGAACUUAAGC
Molecule: unclassified non-coding RNA, 378 nt
Filed under: plant metagenome
Description: partial contains 5.8S ribosomal RNA, internal transcribed spacer 2, and large subunit ribosomal RNA
Rfam family: 5.8S ribosomal RNA (bases 1-105)
Source: RNAcentral